AAGAGGAAAUUACACAAACUGCAUCUACAGACUCUACUGCUACCAGUGUUGAUUUGGGACCCAGCGCAGGCACCAAACUUAAAACAAGGAAGCCAGAUACCUGCUAUCAGGCACCUAUAAUGAGACCAACACACAAAAACCUUUUGGUGAAAAUGAGACAAAUGCUUGUAGAAAAUCUCCAAGUUGAGGACAUCAUUCGGGACAUGGUAGCCACGAACCUAUUCAGUAAAGACAAUGCAGAAAAGGUAAUGGCUAAAGAAACAGAAAAUGAUCAAGCUUUUGAAUU
This is a long non-coding RNA of Lingula anatina, 286 nucleotides long. NCBI's taxonomy places the organism in Eukaryota, Metazoa, Brachiopoda, Lingulata, Lingulida, Lingulidae. The record is from RefSeq and is a predicted model, not a curated record.